This 76-nucleotide transfer RNA is filed under the name Bryobacterales bacterium. Its description in RNAcentral is "Solibacterales bacterium tRNA-Ala". It matches the Rfam family "tRNA". Rfam says of the family: Transfer RNA (tRNA) molecules are approximately 80 nucleotides in length. Lineage: Bacteria; Pseudomonadati; Acidobacteriota; Terriglobia; Bryobacterales. RNAcentral also lists the same sequence under 1 other name. The record is from RNAcentral.
GGGCGGCUAGCUCAGUUGGGAGAGCGCGGCGUUCGCAAUGCCGAGGUCGUGGGUUCGAUCCCCAUGCCGUCCACCA